This 132-nucleotide small RNA is filed under the name Klebsiella pneumoniae. Its description in RNAcentral is "RtT sRNA". It matches the Rfam family "RtT RNA". From Rfam's summary of the family: This family represents a bacterial cis-regulatory element known as RtT RNA. The exact function of RtT is unknown although it is thought that it may be involved in changing the cellular response in relation to amino acid starvation. Lineage: Bacteria; Pseudomonadati; Pseudomonadota; Gammaproteobacteria; Enterobacterales; Enterobacteriaceae. The record is from RNAcentral.
UAUUCUGUCCCACGGGGAAGGAUGAGAAGCUUCGACUAAGGUUCGACUCGAGCGAAGCGAGAGAACGUUGCCGCAGGCAACGGCCCGAAGGGCGAAGCGCUUUAGCGCCGAGUAAUCCUUCCCCCACCACUG